GUUUUCGACUUAAUGAGUACUACUCCUGUAUACUCCUUUCUCUUCCAAUAACUUCUCCUUUUCCUCAAUAAAAAUAAACGGUUGAAAGUCUCAAUCAAAAUUGCUUUUUGUUGAUGAAGAAUAUGAAAUUCAGCAAACGUGGGCUACAUUGAGGUUAAAGACUCUUAGUGUUCAUCGAAGCUUCUGAAUCUGAGGUCAAGAAGGCUUUCCGACGCCUUGCUUUGCAUGUCGGUCAGAAAAAUUGUUUUGCAAAACUAUUGAGAUGUGCUGCGGUUCUUUGAGGAUUUUUUUUGUUGCAUUCAAUUGUCAAUCUUUUGAAAGAUCUCUAAAUUUAUUUUUUUUAAUUUGUGAACCUUUUUUAUACUUGUGAAAUGAAGGUGUUGUAGAAGAAAAACUGAAAAUCUGAUCCAAUUUGCUUUACCAUAUAUAAUCAACAUUUUGUUUGUUACCAUUUUCUGUUAUGUAUUAAUCAUCUAAGUGGUUUCUAACCCAAUUGGAAACCUGCCAAAGAAAAAGCAGCAUAUACAUCUUUGAAGGAUUAAGAUAAUGUCUUUAAUUUCACCUUGAGGCAGAUGACUUUUAAUCAUCAAUGUGACUAUGUGUUAUAGAGUUUAUUACUCCAAGGUUUUGUCAAAAUAAUGAAAUGUGUACAUGUCACAUAUAAUGAGUUUUUUUUUUUUUUUUUUUAAAUGUCAGAAAAUUCAUGUGCUAAGACCAUUCCAAAUGUCAAAUUAUAUUUAGACAUCAUGAAAUUUCUGAACUCAAAUGCAGGCAGCCGGACUUUGAAAAGUCGGCUAUAGGAAAAGUUGUCCGCGCAUAAGCAACAAAAGAAAAGCAGUGUGAAAACACUAAUAAGGGUGAACCAACUCUAAAGAUUGUAUAAUUGGUUAUUUCAUCUCUUCUAGUUGUACCUGUGGCCAUAUCAAAAGACAAAUGAUACUUAUUGAACCAAGUCUUGGGGCUGUUAUUGCAAUAGGCCUUGCGGCUAACCAUCUAAAAGCAAAUUUUGUCGCAAUAUCAAGUGCUCAGUGUGAACUAUUGUUAUCCCAUACAAAAUAGUCUAAUUUGUGAAGCAGGGCAAAGUAGACAAAAACGUCAAAAUUUGAAGGUUGACCAUUGUAUCAAUUAACUAACUAGCUUAUUUUAGUUAUAGAGUAUUAUUUAUUGUGAAUUGUGAGAGAAAUAUUUGUAAUUUACAAGUACAUCAAUUCAAUGUAAUUGAUAAGGUGUCGCUUAAAGUUGGUCUUAUAUUGGUCACAUUAAUAGUUAUUGUAUUUUAUGAAAG
Long non-coding RNA from Chenopodium quinoa (quinoa), 1285 nucleotides. RefSeq lists it as uncharacterized. The record is from RefSeq and is a predicted model, not a curated record. NCBI's taxonomy places the organism in Eukaryota, Viridiplantae, Streptophyta, Magnoliopsida, Caryophyllales, Amaranthaceae. The transcript is spliced from 5 exons.